RNAcentral lists this ribosomal RNA (952 nucleotides) under Bacillus subtilis. RNAcentral describes it as "bacterial SSU rRNA". It matches the Rfam family "Bacterial small subunit ribosomal RNA", at positions 55 to 966 of the family's 1533-position model. The record is from RNAcentral. Lineage: Bacteria; Bacillati; Bacillota; Bacilli; Caryophanales; Bacillaceae.
GGGCAGGUACCGCAAAUUUGCUCUUGCGAUCGGCACAGUACUGGGAGACUUGCUCCCUGAAUGUUAGCGGCGGACGGGUGAGUAACACGUGGGUAACCUGCCUGUAAGACUGGGAUAACUCCGGGAAACCGGGGCUAAUACCGGAUGGUUGUUUGAACCGCAUGGUUCAAACAUAAAAGGUGGCUUCGGCUACCACUUACAGAUGGACCCGCGGCGCAUUAGCUAGUUGGUGAGGUAACGGCUCACCAAGGCAACGAUGCGUAGCCGACCUGAGAGGGUGAUCGGCCACACUGGGACUGAGACACGGCCCAGACUCCUACGGGAGGCAGCAGUAGGGAAUCUUCCGCAAUGGACGAAAGUCUGACGGAGCAACGCCGCGUGAGUGAUGAAGGUUUUCGGAUCGUAAAGCUCUGUUGUUAGGGAAGAACAAGUACCGUUCGAAUAGGGCGGUACCUUGACGGUACCUAACCAGAAAGCCACGGCUAACUACGUGCCAGCAGCCGCGGUAAUACGUAGGUGGCAAGCGUUGUCCGGAAUUAUUGGGCGUAAAGGGCUCGCAGGCGGUUUCUUAAGUCUGAUGUGAAAGCCCCCGGCUCAACCGGGGAGGGUCAUUGGAAACUGGGGAACUUGAGUGCAGAAGAGGAGAGUGGAAUUCCACGUGUAGCGGUGAAAUGCGUAGAGAUGUGGAGGAACACCAGUGGCGAAGGCGACUCUCUGGUCUGUAACUGACGCUGAGGAGCGAUAGCGUGGGGAGCGAACAGGAUUAGAUACCCUGGUAGUCCACGCCGUACACGAUGAGUGCUAAGUGUUAGGGGGUUUCCGCCCCUUAUUGCUGCAGCUAACGCAUUAAGCACUCCGCCUGGGGAGUACGGUCGCAAGACUGAAACUCAAAGGAAUUGACGGGAGCCCGCACAAGCGUUGGAGCAACGGUUUUAUUCGAACCAGCGCAAGA